Molecule: ribosomal RNA, 214 nt
Filed under: uncultured bacterium
Lineage: Bacteria
Description: partial 16S ribosomal RNA
Rfam family: Bacterial small subunit ribosomal RNA
Source: RNAcentral
GAUCCUGGCUCAGGAUGAACGCUAGCUACAGGCUUAACACAUGCAAGUCGAGGGGAAACGAUAGAGAAAGCUUGCUUUUUCUAGGCGUCGACCGGCGCACGGGUGAGUAACGCGUAUCCAACCUGCCCAUCACUUGGGGAUAACCUUGCGAAAGUAAGACUAAUACCCAAUGACGUCUCUAGAAGACAUCUGAAGGAGAUUAAAGAUUAUCGUG